This 84-nucleotide transfer RNA is filed under the name Enterococcus faecium. RNAcentral's name for it is "tRNA-Tyr". It matches the Rfam family "tRNA". From Rfam's summary of the family: Transfer RNA (tRNA) molecules are approximately 80 nucleotides in length. Their secondary structure includes four short double-helical elements and three loops (D, anti-codon, and T loops). Further hydrogen bonds mediate the characteristic L-shaped molecular structure. tRNAs have two regions of fundamental functional importance: the anti-codon, which is responsible for specific mRNA codon recognition, and the 3' end, to which the tRNAs corresponding amino acid is attached (by aminoacyl-tRNA synthetases). tRNAs cope with the degeneracy of the genetic code in two manners: having more than one tRNA (with a specific anti-codon) for a particular amino acid; and 'wobble' base-pairing, i.e. permitting non-standard base-pairing at the 3rd anti-codon position. Lineage: Bacteria; Bacillati; Bacillota; Bacilli; Lactobacillales; Enterococcaceae. RNAcentral also lists the same sequence under 4 other names. The record is from RNAcentral.
GGAGGAUUAUGCAAAUUGGUGAAGCAAGUGGUCUGUAAAACCAUGACGUAAGAUACAUUGGGGGUUCGAAUCCCUUGUCCUCCA